This is a ribosomal RNA of 377 nucleotides. It matches the Rfam family "Bacterial small subunit ribosomal RNA", at positions 370 to 740 of the family's 1533-position model.
AAUAGCCUAACGGCUGAACCAGCAACUUGGAGGAAUGAAUAGCAAUAGCUAAUUGUGUCAAAAACAUGAUGCAAAAUCGAUUUCUUGAUUAAAAUUCUGGGUAGAAUUAUGAUUAUGACAUUGUCUACCCACGUGUCUUGACCAAAUUGCGUGCCAGCAGUCGCGGUAAUACGUAGAAGACUAGUGUUAUUCAUCUUUAUUUGGUUUAAAGGGUACCUAGACGGUAAAUCAAGCCCUAGACGGGACUAAUUUGCUAGAGUUACUUAUGAGGGGGUUUUAAAGUACUAAUGGUGUAGAGAUGAAAUUUUGUAAUACCAUUUUUUGAAAGAAAAAAGUUAUGGCACAGGUAUAGGCGAAAGCAUCCCCUUAUGUGAUAA